Pantherophis guttatus is the source of this 490-nucleotide non-coding RNA. The record is from RefSeq and is a predicted model, not a curated record. Lineage: Eukaryota; Metazoa; Chordata; Lepidosauria; Squamata; Colubridae.
AUGUUAAGGACAACCUGUAAUUAAUUAUACAGGGAUGUUGUACCAGUAUGUGAGGAUAAGCUUAGUUAUGGGAGGGGAAAGAGAUGCUGCCAAAGAGAAAGUAGAAGAGCAACUGCUUACUUGAAUUGAGAAGAAACCACUAUCAUCCAUGUUUCCUGAAGGUUGCUGUUCAACAAAGAAUGCAAAGGAAAGAAGAUUAAUUUAUGUGCUACAGAAACUUUUGGAAAAUCAUAGGUAGAGAAUAAAUUCAGUUAAUCUUAGUAAAUCUUAAACUUUAUUCACACUAAAAAUACUUUUAAUGAACCAUUCUGAAGGCAUGAGAACAAAGGUAACAUUCUUGGAUUUACAGGUUAUGUCAAUGAGAAACAGCAGAUAAAUUAUGCAACACCAAGCAAAUACAAGAAUCUAGUGAUUACUUUGGUAGCCUUUUUCAUUUUGCUCUUUGUAUUUAAAAGCAGCAUGGGACAAAAUAAAUUCUGUAUCUGAAGUU